Molecule: ribosomal RNA, 468 nt
Filed under: uncultured bacterium
Lineage: Bacteria
Description: partial 16S ribosomal RNA
Rfam family: Bacterial small subunit ribosomal RNA
Source: RNAcentral
GACGAACGCUGGCGGCGUGCUUAACACAUGCAAGUCGAACGGAAAGGCCCUGCUUUUGUGGGGUGCUCGAGUGGCGAACGGGUGAGUAACACGUGAGUAACCUGCCCUUGACUUUGGGAUAACUUCAGGAAACUGGGGCUAAUACCGGAUAGGAGCUCCUGCUGCAUGGUGGGGGUUGGAAAGUUUCGGCGGUUGGGGAUGGACUCGCGGCUUAUCAGCUUGUUGGUGGGGUAGUGGCUUACCAAGGCUUUGACGGGUAGCCGGCCUGAGAGGGUGACCGGCCACAUUGGGACUGAGAUACGGCCCAGACUCCUACGGGAGGCAGCAGUGGGGAAUAUCGCACAAUGGGCGGAAGCCUGAUGCAGCAACGCCGCGUGCGGGAUGACGGCCUUCGGGUUGUAAACCGCUUUCGCCUGUGACGAAGCGUGAGUGACGGUAAUGGGUAAAGAAGCGCCGGCUAACUACGUG